Molecule: transfer RNA, 77 nt
Filed under: Aeromonas hydrophila
Lineage: Bacteria; Pseudomonadati; Pseudomonadota; Gammaproteobacteria; Aeromonadales; Aeromonadaceae
Also listed under: 2 other names
Description: tRNA-Met
Rfam family: tRNA
About the family: Transfer RNA (tRNA) molecules are approximately 80 nucleotides in length. Their secondary structure includes four short double-helical elements and three loops (D, anti-codon, and T loops).
Source: RNAcentral
CGCGGGGUGGAGCAGCUCGGUAGCUCGUCGGGCUCAUAACCCGAAGGUCGUCGGUUCAAAUCCGGCCUCCGCAACCA